RNAcentral lists this unclassified non-coding RNA (756 nucleotides) under Hevea brasiliensis (rubber tree). The record is from RNAcentral. Lineage: Eukaryota; Viridiplantae; Streptophyta; Magnoliopsida; Malpighiales; Euphorbiaceae.
CUUUCUCUCUCUCAUUUUCGGGGCUUUCUCUCUCCUCUCUCUUCUUUCAUAUUCUCUAUCUGUCUUUCUCUCUCAGGUUUCUCUCUCCUCUCUCUUUCUCUCUCCAGAAGGGCAAAACCCUAAAGAGCCGUUUACACCCCCAAUUUUCAUGGAUGACGAUGCACUGAACAUGCGUAAUUGGGGUUAUUAUGAACCGACCUUUAAAGGGCAUCUCGGUCUGCAGCUCAUGUCCAGCAUGGCAGACCGUGACACGAAGCAUUUCCUACCUGGGGGUGAUCCUAAUAACAUCAUGGUUGGUGCCAAUGGCGCUUUUCAUCCACGUGAUUGUGUGGUUUCGGAUGCUCCUGUUCCAAUGAAUUAUGUAAGAGACAGUUGGAUAAGCCAAAGGGAGAAGUUUUUGAACAUGUUACCUCAAAAUCCCUCUUAUGCUGUUCUCCCAGAAACAUCUGGGGCUCACUCUAUGCAAGUUCUACAGCCACCCAAUUCAUCAAGGGAUGAGAAGGUGGGUAGGAUUGAGGAGCCAAGUGUGAACAAGGAAGGUAGCCAGUUGAAGAAAAGACAAGGUGGGGGUGCCCCAAAAACCCCCAAAGCCAAGAAACCUAGGAAGCCAAAAGAUAAUAGUAAUAAUGCAGUUCAGCGUGUGAAGCCAGCUAAGAAAAGUAUGGAUGUUGUUAUAAAUGGGAUUGAUAUGGACAUUUCAGGUAUUCCUAUUCCAGUAUGCUCUUGCACUGGAACUCCUCAGCAGUGUUAUCGAUG